Molecule: transfer RNA, 77 nt
Filed under: Verrucomicrobiia bacterium
Lineage: Bacteria; Pseudomonadati; Verrucomicrobiota; Verrucomicrobiia
Description: tRNA-Met
Rfam family: tRNA
About the family: Transfer RNA (tRNA) molecules are approximately 80 nucleotides in length. Their secondary structure includes four short double-helical elements and three loops (D, anti-codon, and T loops). Further hydrogen bonds mediate the characteristic L-shaped molecular structure. tRNAs have two regions of fundamental functional importance: the anti-codon, which is responsible for specific mRNA codon recognition, and the 3' end, to which the tRNAs corresponding amino acid is attached (by aminoacyl-tRNA synthetases). tRNAs cope with the degeneracy of the genetic code in two manners: having more than one tRNA (with a specific anti-codon) for a particular amino acid; and 'wobble' base-pairing, i.e. permitting non-standard base-pairing at the 3rd anti-codon position.
Source: RNAcentral
UGCGGGGUAGAGCAGCCCGGUAGCUCGUCAGGCUCAUCACCUGAAGGUCGCAGGUUCAAAUCCUGCCCCCGCAACCA